AAUCCAUAGGUUAAUGAGGCGAACCGGGGGAACUGAAACAUCUAAGUACCCCGAGGAAAAGAAAUCAACCGAGAUUCCCCCAGUAGCGGCGAGCGAACGGGGAGGAGCCCAGAGCCUGAAUCAGCAUGUGUGUUAGUGGAAGCGUCUGGAAAGGCGCGCGAUACAGGGUGACAGCCCCGUACACAAAAGCGCAUGUGCUGUGAGCUCGAUGAGUAGGGCGGGACACGUGGUAUCCUGUCUGAAUAUGGGGGGACCAUCCUCCAAGGCUAAAUACUCCUGACUGACCGAUAGUGAACCAGUACCGUGAGGGAAAGGCGAAAAGAACCCCGGCGAGGGGAGUGAAAAAGAACCUGAAACCGUGUACGUACAAGCAGUGGGAGCCCCACCACCAAAGCAUUUGCUGUACCGCGUUGACGGAGCGAAGCGACGUCA
This 432-nucleotide ribosomal RNA is filed under the name Salmonella enterica subsp. enterica. RNAcentral's name for it is "partial 23S ribosomal RNA". It matches the Rfam family "Bacterial large subunit ribosomal RNA", at positions 161 to 587 of the family's 2925-position model. The record is from RNAcentral. Lineage: Bacteria; Pseudomonadati; Pseudomonadota; Gammaproteobacteria; Enterobacterales; Enterobacteriaceae. RNAcentral also lists the same sequence under 1 other name.